CCUACGGGUGGCAGCAGUGAGGAAUAUUGGUCAAUGGGCGGGAGCCUGAACCAGCCAAGCCGCGUGAAGGAAGAAGGCGCCAGGCGUCGUAAACUUCUUUUGUCGGGGAACAAAGGGCGCCACGCGUGGCGUUGUGAGUGUACCCGAAGAAAAAGCAUCGGCUAACUCCGUGCCAGCAGCCGCUGUAAUACGGAGGAUGCGAGCGUUAUCCGGAUUUAUUGGGUUUAAAGGGUGCGUAGGCGGUCCGGAAAGUCAGCGGUAAAAUUGCGGGGCUCAACCUCGCCGAGCCGUUGAAACUGCUCUUCUAGAGUGGGCGAGAAGUAUGCGGAAUGCGUGGUGUAGCGGUGAAAUGCAUAGAUAUCACGCAGAACUCCGAUUGCGAAGGCAGCAUACCGGCGCCCAACUGACGCUCAUGCACGAAAGCGUGGGUAUCGAACAGGAUUAGAUACCCGGGUAGUC
RNAcentral lists this ribosomal RNA (459 nucleotides) under uncultured bacterium. RNAcentral's name for it is "partial 16S ribosomal RNA". It matches the Rfam family "Bacterial small subunit ribosomal RNA", at positions 338 to 795 of the family's 1533-position model. The record is from RNAcentral.